Long non-coding RNA from Acanthopagrus latus (yellowfin seabream), 564 nucleotides. RefSeq lists it as uncharacterized. Lineage: Eukaryota; Metazoa; Chordata; Actinopteri; Spariformes; Sparidae. The record is from RefSeq and is a predicted model, not a curated record. The transcript has 3 exons.
CCGGAAGAAAUGGCCGCCGGACAACAAACUGGAGUGCAACCGUACAUGUUCGAGCCGGAGUCCGACCCAGAACAACAAGAGGCUCCAGAAGAAGUUCAGCAGCCAAGAAUGAACAUGGAUGUUUCUCAGUGGUGUUCCUGUGGCAGUUGUGAACAAGUGCCUACAGAGCCCGAGAAUAUCUGCUGUAUGGAAAUACCACAGGUAAGUGUGAACACUGGGCAAACAAGGUUGUUAUUUUGCAGUCUCUUUUCUUUAAUCCAUUGUCACUCACUUACCUUUCAUAACUUCUAGGUUACACGAAGACUAAGUUACAGCAGCUUCCUGAGCAACCAUCAUGCAUGCUGGACCAUCCUGGCCUAGAGCCUGUCUGCCUGAAUGUGUUUUCACUGAAGAAUGCACUGAACAUUUAUCGGGCAGACUACGGACCUUUAUGUCUGAGAAUACAAAUAUAGAUACCUAGCCUACAGAGGCUUUGUAAGCUGGUGCUGGUGCUUUCUGGGGCGAAGAGUGAGAGCUGUGCUGCCUGCUUGUGUGGUGCUGAGGAUUCAUGCAGAGUUCCCCGAC